UACGGAGGAUGCAAGCGUUAUCCGGAAUGAUUGGGCGUAAAGCGUCCGCAGGUGGCUGUGUAAGUCUGCUGUCAAAGAGCAAAGCUCAACUUUGUAAAGGCAGUGGAAACUACACGGCUAGAGUGCGUUCGGGGCAGAGGGAAUUCCUGGUGUAGCGGUGAAAUGCGUAGAGAUCAGGAAGAACACCGGUGGCGAAGGCGCUCUGCUAGGCCGUAACUGACACUGAGGGACGAAAGCUAGGGGAGCGAACGGG
Molecule: ribosomal RNA, 253 nt
Filed under: uncultured bacterium
Lineage: Bacteria
Description: partial 16S ribosomal RNA
Rfam family: Bacterial small subunit ribosomal RNA
Source: RNAcentral